AGGGGGCAGAGCACCGUGGGGUGUGAGGGGGAAGAGCACAGUGGGGUGUGAGGGGGAAGAGCACAGUGGGGUGUGAGGGGGCAGAGCACAGUGGAGUGUGAGGGGGCAGAGCACAGUGGGGUGUGAGGGGGAAGAGCACUGGCUGGUGACACACCCUGCCUACAUUAUUGUGUGGUCUGUCUAGGUUGCUGAGUCACAGGCUCUUGCCUUUUCCACCGUCAUUUAGGCAGACAGUAGUAUUAGUGUUUCAUUUGUGAGGGCAGCAAGUAAUUGUAUAUUCCAUGCAAUGAGCAAAAGCAUUUAACGUACCUUCCCUGUGGCGCAGUUGGUAGAGCAUGGUGUGUGCAAUGCCAAAGCUUUGGGUUCGAUUCCCACAGGGGGCCAGUACAAAGAAAAAAAAUGUAUGAAAUGUAUGCAUUCACUACUGUAAGUCGCUCUGGAUAAGAGCAUCUGCUAAAUGACUAAAAUGUAAAAAAAUAUAACAUGGGAUAUAAAUGUAUACAUAAAUGCAACACUCUAUGCAUUUAGACACUAUUUAUUCUUAUUACUCAAAUUACUAUUACAACGUGAAAUGUUCUACAUUAUUCAAAAUACUUAUCAUAUUAAUUCAAUUUGAUUCUAGAAAAUAGCAGCAAGUACAUUGAAGUGGCACACAAUUAAUAUUCAUGCUGGCAACCCACUUUCAAGGUGUUUGUAUAGGGAAAGGGAAAGGUAUAGAGGACAUCAGUGGCAGAAAAUAAUGAUUUGUACUCUUAUAGUUGGCUUAUGGCCUGUAAUUAUGGAAUACUCAUGUUACAAACACAAAUGAUAAUUCAAUUACCAAGAAGAAAGUAAAAAACAUUCAAAUUAACCAGCAUUCUUAAUGUUCUGUAGUGUGUGACUUAUGCACAUGCACACACACGCACACACACGCACAUACACGCACACAAACAUUAUUCUCUUCCUCAGGUGAAGAAGGCUAAACGUGAUUGAUUGGCUGGCGAAGUGGUCUUUUCCCUGUGAUCCAACCGCAGGGUCAUAAGAUCUCAUAUUAUAACUACUUCACUACUACACACAUAAAUCCAAACCAUUUCAUGGGCUAACAGUUUUUCGCUUCAAUGCAACCCGUUCAAAAUUCAUAUGCAAAGCCAUGAUGACACAGUAAUGGACACAGUUGUUGGAAAAGACUCUUAAAUCCGCCAUAGUCUCUUG
RNAcentral lists this long non-coding RNA (1191 nucleotides) under Salmo salar (Atlantic salmon). RNAcentral describes it as "lncRNA (ENSSSAG00000109058.1)". The stretch from base 414 to 467 matches the Rfam family "UnaL2 LINE 3' element". Lineage: Eukaryota; Metazoa; Chordata; Actinopteri; Salmoniformes; Salmonidae. The record is from RNAcentral.